Molecule: unclassified non-coding RNA, 301 nt
Filed under: Glomus sp.
Lineage: Eukaryota; Fungi; Glomeromycota; Glomeromycetes; Glomerales; Glomeraceae
Description: partial contains 5.8S ribosomal RNA, internal transcribed spacer 2, and large subunit ribosomal RNA
Rfam family: 5.8S ribosomal RNA (bases 1-71)
Source: RNAcentral
GUGAAUCAUCAAAUUUUUGAACGCAAAUUGCACUUUCUGGUAUUCCGGAAAGUAUUCCUGUUUGAGGUUCAGUUAAAUAAAAAUCGGUGUUUUUGCAUCUUUUCGUGGUGACGCGUCGGAAUUGAGUUGUCUUACCUUCUGUUAAGUGACUUAAAAUUUUUCAUGAUUUUCUAACGUAUUUAAAUUUCUUACGUACGUUUUAUAUAUCGAAUACUUUAUUAGUUUCGGUCACCCUCAUGAUUCGCACCUAUAAUUUUUCAUUAAAUGACCUCAAUUCAUGUAAUAAUACCCUCUGAACUUA